RNAcentral lists this ribosomal RNA (383 nucleotides) under uncultured marine Chaetocerotaceae. RNAcentral describes it as "SSU rRNA". It matches the Rfam family "Eukaryotic small subunit ribosomal RNA", at positions 587 to 972 of the family's 1831-position model. The record is from RNAcentral. Lineage: Eukaryota; Bacillariophyta; Thalassiosirophyceae; Chaetocerotales; Chaetocerotaceae.
AGCUCCAAUAGCGUAUAUUAAAGUUGUUGCAGUUAAAAAGCUCGUAGUUGGAUUUCUGGAGGAAGGGAGAAGUCCGACCUUUUAUGGUGGGUACUGCUCCUCUUCCGCCAUCUUUGGGUCUAAGCAGUCUGGCAUUAAGUUGUCGGGCUGGGGAUACCCAUCGUUUACUGUGAAAAAAUUAGAGUGUUCAAAGCAGGCUUAUGCCGUUGAAUAUAUUAGCAUGGAAUAAUGAGAUAGGACCUUGGUACUAUUUUGUUGGUUUGCGCACCGAGGUAAUGAUCAAUAGGGACAGUUGGGGGUAUUCGUAUUCAGUUGUCAGAGGUGAAAUUCUUAGAUUUACGGAAGACGAACUACUGCGAAAGCAUUUACCAAGGAUGUUUUCA